RNAcentral lists this ribosomal RNA (776 nucleotides) under uncultured Glomus. RNAcentral describes it as "SSU rRNA". It matches the Rfam family "Eukaryotic small subunit ribosomal RNA", at positions 325 to 1102 of the family's 1831-position model. The record is from RNAcentral. Lineage: Eukaryota; Fungi; Glomeromycota; Glomeromycetes; Glomerales; Glomeraceae.
AUGGUAGGAUAGAGGCCUACCAUGGUGGUAACGGGUAACGGGGUGUUAGGGCACGACACCGGAGAGGGAGCCUGAGAAACGGCUACCACAUCCAAGGAAGGCAGCAGGCGCGCAAAUUACCCAAUCCCGACACGGGGAGGUAGUGACAAUAAAUAACAAUACAGGGCUCUUUUGGGUCUUGUAAUUGGAAUGAGUACAAUUUAAAUCUCUUAACGAGGAACAAUUGGAGGGCAAGUCUGGUGCCAGCAGCCGCGGUAAUUCCAGCUCCAAUAGCGUAUAUUAAAGUUGUUGCAGUUAAAAAGCUCGUAGUUGAAUCUCGGGAUCAAUAUGUCGGUCGUGCCUUCGGUACGUACUGGUAUCAUUGGUCUCUCCUUCCUGACGAACCAUGAUGUCAUUAAUUUGGUGUUAUGGGGAGUUAGGACUGUUACUUUGAAAAAAUUAGAGUGUUUAAAGCAGGCUUUAGCUUGAAUACAUUAGCAUGGAAUAAUGAAAUAGGACGUUCGAACCUAUUUUGUUGGUUUCUAGGAUCAACGUAAUGAUUAAUAGGGAUAGUUGGGGGCAUUAGUAUUCAAUUGUCAGAGGUGAAAUUCUUGGAUUUAUUGAAGACUAACUACUGCGAAAGCAUUUGCCAAGGAUGUUUUCAUUAAUCAAGAACGAAAGUUAGGGGAUCGAAGACGAUCAGAUACCGUCGUAGUCUUAACCAUAAACUAUGCCGACUAGGGAUCGGAUGAUGUUAAUUUUUUAAUGACUCAUUCGGCGCCUUACGGGAAACCAAA